UAACCCCUACCCACCUCUCCUCUUCCUUCCUCCCUCCUUUCCUCACUACCGUCGCCACCACUUCCGUAUUCCCUCGCCGUCGCGGUUCUUUCACCGUCAAAGCUGCCCGUGGCAAAUUCGAACGCAAAAAGCCCCACGUCAACAUCGGCACCAUCGGCCAUGUCGACCACGGCAAAACCACCUUAACUGCCGCUCUAACUAUGGCCUUAGCCUCCAUGGGUAACAGUGCCCCAAAAAAGUACGACGAAAUUGAUGCCGCCCCUGAAGAGCGUGCCCGUGGUAUCACCAUUAACACCGCCACCGUUGAAUACGAAACCGAGAAUCGCCAUUACGCCCACGUCGACUGCCCAGGGCACGCUGAUUAUGUCAAAAACAUGAUUACCGGAGCUGCCCAAAUGGACGGUGCUAUCUUGGUUGUUUCCGGAGCCGACGGACCCAUGCCCCAGACUAA
RNAcentral lists this long non-coding RNA (451 nucleotides) under Gossypium raimondii (Peruvian cotton). RNAcentral's name for it is "long non-coding RNA (GRAI_LNC002273)". The record is from RNAcentral. Lineage: Eukaryota; Viridiplantae; Streptophyta; Magnoliopsida; Malvales; Malvaceae.